Long non-coding RNA from Sander lucioperca (pikeperch), 651 nucleotides. RefSeq lists it as uncharacterized. The transcript is spliced from 4 exons. The record is from RefSeq and is a predicted model, not a curated record. NCBI's taxonomy places the organism in Eukaryota, Metazoa, Chordata, Actinopteri, Perciformes, Percidae.
UGAGGGGUAAAGGCAAAUCUAACCUCAUCAGCUGCAACUGAUUGAAAGAAACCUUGAUUGCUAAUGAGCUACACAUGUGGCUGUAACACCUGAGGGCCUCUGGUUGGUCGGUGAAUAGCCUGACUUGUAAAAACUGGUGUGUAGCAGACAGCAGCACAUAGUGUCAGUUUGGCCAGAAUAUACAAGCAAGCAAGUGGUUCACUUAAGCUUGUGUUGGUUAGCAGGUGUAGUUUGCUAGCAGCUAGGCUAGCUUUAGACAUUGCCAACACAUCAGUUGCUAUGGCUUUUGGGUUUUGCCUUAGUGUUGCCUUAUUCCAUUCUGUGUGGUCAGCUGUAGAAUGUACCAGCUUUCCUGAAGGAGAUCUUCAUAUGGAGUGUCAUGAUCGUUACUUCAUGAUAGUUGUUGAUCUCUCCUUCACUGGGAAGGAACCUCGCUUUGAGGCUGUUAAGUUCUUCUUCUUCUUCUUGUUCUUCUUCUUCUAGCAGUUGGCAUCCUAUGCGUUGCAUUACUGCCUCCUAAUGCUGGGACAGGAGUGUACCCCAUCACUAAGCAGUAUGCAGCAAAGUGUGGCUACAGUGUCAGUGUUCUCCCUCUAAAGGGCCACAUGGAGCUCUGAGCCUCUUACUUCAGUGGCCACACUGACAACAAGG